This 446-nucleotide ribosomal RNA is filed under the name uncultured bacterium. RNAcentral describes it as "partial 16S ribosomal RNA". It matches the Rfam family "Bacterial small subunit ribosomal RNA", at positions 338 to 795 of the family's 1533-position model. The record is from RNAcentral.
CCUACGGGUGGCAGCAGUCGAGAAUCAUUCACAAUGGGGGAAACCCUGAUGGUGCGACGCCGCGUGGGGGAAUGAAGGUCUUCGGAUUGUAAACCCCUGUCAUGUGGGGGCAAAUUAAAAAGAUAGUACCCCAAGAGGAAGAGACUGCUCACUCUGUGCCAGCAGCCGCGGUAAUACAGAGGGCGCAAGCGUUGUUCGGAAUCACUGGGCGUAAAGCGUGCGUAGGCGGUUUCGUAAGUCGUGUGUGAAAGGCGCGGGCUCAACCCGCGGACGGCACAUGAUACUGCGAGACUAGAGUAAUGGAGGGGGGACCAGAAUUCUCGGUGUAGCAGUGAAAUGCGUAGAUAUCGGGAGGAACACUCGUGGCGAAGGCGGGUUCCUGGACAUUAACUGACGCUGAGGUACGAAGGCCAGGGGAGCGAAAGGGAUUAGAUACCCUAGUAGUC